GUAGUCUCGCACAGAUGCAUAUCAAUAAGCGGAGGAAAAGAAACUAACAAGGAUUCCCUUAGUAACGGCGAGUGAAGCGGGAAGAGCUCAAAUUUGAAAUCUUCAAGGUUUUACCUUGACGAAUUGUAGUUUAAAGAAGUGUUUUCUGUUGAAGCUUUGGUAAAAGUUCUUUGGAAUAGGACAUCAUAGAGGGUGAGAAUCCCGUAUUUGACCAUUAUUUUCAGCUGUGUGAUACACUUUCAAAGAGUCGGAUUGUUUGGGAAUGCAGUCCAAAAUGGGUGGUAAAUUUCAUCUAAAGCUAAAUAUUGGCGAGAGACCGAUAGCGAACAAGUACCGUGAGGGAAAGAUGAAAAGAACUUUGAAAAGAGAGUUAAACAGUACGUGAAAUUGUCAAAAGGGAAGCGUUUGACACCAGUGUUGUUUUCUCGAAAAUCAAUUAAAAAGAGUUUGAUUUUGUUGUGUAUUGACCUUAACAGCUUGCAUUUCAAUUUUCUCGCUUUUUUUAAUGCACUUUUCGUUUAACAAGUCAACAUCAGUUUCUUUUGUUGUAAAAAGGUCAUUGGAAGGUGGCUUUCUUUUCGGAGAAAGUGUUUAUAGCCUUUGACUCCUGCAAUCGGAGAGACUGAGGUCUGCAGCGUAGAUCCUUCGGGGUUAGAUACAUUUGUGCUAAGUUAUAGCUUUUUAUAGACAACUUGUUGACUAUGAUUAGUCUUGUAGCUUACUCGCUUAUGCUAUUUUACCUACGCUUAGGAUGUUGAGCGCAUGUCUCUCUCU
This 774-nucleotide ribosomal RNA is filed under the name uncultured Neocallimastigales. RNAcentral's name for it is "partial large subunit ribosomal RNA". It matches the Rfam family "Eukaryotic large subunit ribosomal RNA", at positions 24 to 616 of the family's 3401-position model. The record is from RNAcentral. Lineage: Eukaryota; Fungi; Neocallimastigomycota; Neocallimastigomycetes; Neocallimastigales.